UAUUGAAAUUCUAACCUACGGGUCUUAUCGACCCGGGAGACAGUGUCAGGUGGGCAGUUUGACUGGGGCGGUCGCCUCCUAAAGUGUAACGGAGGCGCCCAAAGGUUCCCUCAGAAUGGUUGGAAAUCAUUCGUAGAGUGCAAAGGCAUAAGGGAGCUUGACUGCGAGACCUACAAGUCGAGCAGGGACGAAAGUCGGGCUUAGUGAUCCGGUGGUUCCGCAUGGAAGGGCCAUCGCUCAACGGAUAAAAGCUACCCCGGGGAUAACAGGCUUAUCUCCCCCAAGAGUCCACAUCGACGGGGAGGUUUGGCACCUCGAUGUCGGCUCAUCGCAUCCUGGGGCUGUAGUCGGUCCCAAGGGUUGGGCUGUUCGCCCAUUAAAGCGGUACGCGAGCUGGGUUCAGAACGUCGUGAGACAGUUCGGUCCCUAUCCGUCGUGGGCGUAGGAAAUUUGAGAGGAGCUGUCCUUAGUACGAGAGGACCGGGAUGGACGCACCGCUGGUGUACCAGUUGUUCUGCCAAGGGCAUCGCUGGGUAGCUAUGUGCGGAAGGGAUAAGUGCUGAAAGCAUCUAAGCAUGAAGCCCCCCUCAAGAUGAGAUUUCCCAUAGCGUAAGCUAGUAAGAUCCCUGAAAGAUGAUCAGGUUGAUAGGUUCGAGGUGGAAGCGUGGUGACACGUGGAGCUGACGAAUACUAAUAGAUCGAGGACUUAACCAAU
Molecule: ribosomal RNA, 715 nt
Filed under: Bacillus cytotoxicus
Lineage: Bacteria; Bacillati; Bacillota; Bacilli; Caryophanales; Bacillaceae
Description: bacterial LSU rRNA
Rfam family: Bacterial large subunit ribosomal RNA
Source: RNAcentral